Molecule: small nuclear RNA, 160 nt
Filed under: Helianthus annuus (common sunflower)
Lineage: Eukaryota; Viridiplantae; Streptophyta; Magnoliopsida; Asterales; Asteraceae
Description: U1 spliceosomal RNA
Rfam family: U1 spliceosomal RNA
About the family: U1 is a small nuclear RNA (snRNA) component of the spliceosome (involved in pre-mRNA splicing). Its 5' end forms complementary base pairs with the 5' splice junction, thus defining the 5' donor site of an intron.
Source: RNAcentral
UCACUUACCUGGACGGGGUCAAUGGGCGAUCAAAAAGGUCCAUGGCCUAGGUUGGUGACCUCCAUUGCACUUAGGAGGGGUGCCCGCCUAAGGUCGGCCCAAGUGGUCGAGCCUACGUCAUAAUUUGUGGCAGUGGAGGCUUGCGUUCGCGCAGCCUCUU